UACGGAGGGGGCUAGCGUUGUUCGGAAUUACUGGGCGUAAGGCGCACGUAGGCGGAUUACUAAGUCGGGGGUGAAAUCCCGGGGCUCAACCCCGGAACUGCCUUCGAUACUGGUAGUCUAGAGUUCGAGAGAGGUGAGUGGAAUUCCGAGUGUAGAGGUGAAAUUCGUAGAUAUUCGGAGGAACACCAGUGGCGAAGGCGGCUCACUGGCUCGAUACUGACGCUGAGGAGCGAAAGUGUGGGGAGCGAACAGG
This 253-nucleotide ribosomal RNA is filed under the name uncultured bacterium. RNAcentral describes it as "partial 16S ribosomal RNA". It matches the Rfam family "Bacterial small subunit ribosomal RNA", at positions 524 to 776 of the family's 1533-position model. The record is from RNAcentral.